RNAcentral lists this ribosomal RNA (622 nucleotides) under uncultured bacterium. Its description in RNAcentral is "bacterial SSU rRNA". It matches the Rfam family "Bacterial small subunit ribosomal RNA", at positions 338 to 1414 of the family's 1533-position model. The record is from RNAcentral.
CCUACGGGAGGCAGCAGUGAGGAAUAUUGGACAAUGGGCGCAAGCCUGAUCCAGCCAUGCCGCGUGCAGGAAGACGGUCCUAUGGAUUGUAAACUGCUUUUAUACAGGAAGAAACACCUCUACGUGUAGAGACUUGACGGUACUGUAUGAAUAAGCAUCGGCUAACUCCGUGCCAGCAGCCGCGGUAAUACGGAGGAUGCAAGCGUUAUCCGGAAUCAUUGGGUUUAAAGGGUCCGUAGGCGGUUUAAUAAGUCAGUGGUGAAAGCCCAUCGCUCAACGAUGGAACGGCCAUUGAUACUGUUAAACUUGAAUUAUUAGGAAGUAACUAGAAUAUGUAGUGUAGCGGUGAAAUGCUUAGAGAUUACAUGGAAUACCAAUUGCGAAGGCAGGUUACUACUAAUAUAUUGACGCUGAUGGACGAAAGCGUGGGGAGCGAACAGGAUUAGAUACCCUGGUAGUCCACGCCGUAAACGAUGGAUACUAGCUGUUCGGAGCAAUCUGAGUGGCUAAGCGAAAGUGAUAAGUAUCCCACCUGGGGAGUACGUUCGCAAGAAGAGAACGUACGAAAGAAAGUUAGACGGACGUGAGACGUACGACGACGGACGACGACGAGGGGAGGAGG